RNAcentral lists this long non-coding RNA (509 nucleotides) under Heterocephalus glaber (naked mole-rat). RNAcentral's name for it is "lncRNA (ENSHGLG00000049263.1)". The record is from RNAcentral. Lineage: Eukaryota; Metazoa; Chordata; Mammalia; Rodentia; Bathyergidae.
CUUUGAGGAGCCAUUUUCCUGCCUAGCAGUUAUAUUAUGGUGACUUGGCAGAGAAUUUUACUUGUGAAGAAAGGUGGAUGAUGGAAUAAUGAAGGAAAGCAUGACAGACCCACUGAAAUGAAUCCUUUGACAUUUGGCAGAGUGGAAAGUGCUGAAGAUGGAACCUGGAGCUUGCUGUGCUAGGCAAGUACUCUACCACUGAGCUACACUGAGCUACAUGCUGUACUGUGCAGCUCUAGAACCAAUGGUGAACGUGCUCGUUUCUACCUUCAGCAACUGGAGAACAUUUGGACACACGCAAGAAGCACAAUGGUGUGGAGAUAAAAAGAGGAAACAUAGGGGCGGAGUUCCCAUUACACGUAAUUGAUUUAAUGACUACUUCCCACACUCAACUGUCCGUCUCCAGCAUUCUUUUCAAAGUGGAAAUAAAUCUUGCAAAACUCAAUGGUAAAACUUUUGAUCUCAUCUUAGUCAUCAGUGCCUUGCUCAAGAUAAUAUUUCAGUGUUGG